GGCGCACGGGUGCGUAACGCGUAUAGAACCUACCCUGUACAGGGGGAUAGCCCAGAGAAAUUUGGAUUAAUACCCCGUGGUAACUUGAUAUGGCAUCAUAUUAAGUUUAAAGUUUUCGGACGGUACAGGAUGGCUAUGCGUCCUAUUAGUUAGAUGGUGAGGUAACGGCUCACCAUGGCAGCGAUAGGUAGGGGCCCUGAGAGGGGGAUCCCCCACACUGGUACUGAGACACGGACCAG
Molecule: ribosomal RNA, 239 nt
Filed under: uncultured bacterium
Lineage: Bacteria
Description: partial 16S ribosomal RNA
Rfam family: Bacterial small subunit ribosomal RNA
Source: RNAcentral